AUUGAACGCUGGCGGCAUGCCUUACACAUGCAAGUCGAACGGCAGCACGGGAGCAAUCCUGGUGGCGAGUGGCGAACGGGUGAGUAAAGUAUCGGAACGUGCCCAGUCGUGGGGGAUAACGUAGCGAAAGUUACGCUAAUACCGCAUACGAUCUAUGGAUGAAAGCGGGGGAUCGCAAGACCUCGCGCGAUUGGAGCGGCCGAUAUCAGAUUAGGUAGUUGGUGGGGUAAAGGCUCACCAAGCCGACGAUCUGUAGCUGGUCUGAGGGGACGACCAGCCACACUGGGACGGAGACACGGCCCAGACUCCUCCGGGAGGCAGCAGUGGGGAAUUUUGGACAAUGGGCGAAAGCCUGAUCCAGCCAUGCCGCGGGCAGGAUGAAGGCCUUCGGGUUGUAAACUGCUUUUGUACGGAACGAAAAGGUUUGGCCUAAUAAGCUGAGCUCAUGACGGUACCGUAAGAAUAAGCACCGGCUAACUACGUGCCAGCCGCCGCCGUAA
Molecule: ribosomal RNA, 500 nt
Filed under: uncultured bacterium
Lineage: Bacteria
Description: partial 16S ribosomal RNA
Rfam family: Bacterial small subunit ribosomal RNA
Source: RNAcentral